UUAAUUGAAGCCAAAUUAGCGGCAUAUCAUUGUUAAUGAUACCACUGAAUUAUUAAUUCCAAUUAAG
This 67-nucleotide transfer RNA is filed under the name Niponiella limbatella. RNAcentral describes it as "tRNA-Asn". The record is from RNAcentral. Lineage: Eukaryota; Metazoa; Arthropoda; Insecta; Plecoptera; Perlidae.